This 459-nucleotide ribosomal RNA is filed under the name uncultured bacterium. RNAcentral's name for it is "partial 16S ribosomal RNA". It matches the Rfam family "Bacterial small subunit ribosomal RNA", at positions 338 to 795 of the family's 1533-position model. The record is from RNAcentral.
CCUACGGGAGGCUGCAGUGAGGAAUAUUGGUCAAUGGGAGAGAUCCUGAACCAGCCAAGCCGCGUGAGGGAAGACGGUCCUAUGGGUUGUAAACCUCUUUUGUCGGAGAACAAAACCCGGGACGUGUCCCGUACUGCGUGUAUCCGAAGAAACAGCAUCGGCUAACUCCGUGCCAGCAGCCGCGGUAAUACGGAGGAUGCGAGAGUUAUCCGGUUUUGUGGGGUUUAAAGUGAGCGUAGGUGGUCCGUUAAGUCAGCGGUAAAAUUGCGGGGCUAAACCCCGUCGAGCCGUUGAAACUGGCAGACUUGAGUGGACGAGAGGUGCGCGGAAUGCGCGGGGUAGCGGUGAAAUGCAUAGAUAUCGCGAAGAACUCCGAUUGCGAAGGCAGCGUACCGGCGCCAGACUGACGCUGAGGCACGAAAGCGUGGGGAUCGAACAGGAUUAGAUACCCCUGUAGUC